UACGGAGGAUGCGAGCGUUAUCCGGAUUUAUUGGGUUUAAAGGGUGCGCAGGCGGCAUGUCAAGUCAGCGGUAAAAUGUCGGGGCUCAACCCCGGCCGGCCGUUGAAACUGGCGCGCUGGAGUUGGAGAGAAGUACGCGGAAUUCGUGGUGUAGCGGUGAAAUGCAUAGAUAUUGCGCAGAACUCCGAUUGCGAAGGCAGCGUACCGGCGCCCGACUGACGCUCAUGCACGAAAGCGUGGGUAUCGAACAGG
This 252-nucleotide ribosomal RNA is filed under the name uncultured bacterium. Its description in RNAcentral is "partial 16S ribosomal RNA". It matches the Rfam family "Bacterial small subunit ribosomal RNA", at positions 524 to 776 of the family's 1533-position model. The record is from RNAcentral.